AUAUGCACAUACAGAGCCUUCUGAAGGGCUUCCUGUACCCAGGAACCUUAAGAGCAGGUAGGUCAUGUAACUCACAGGGCCCGGAAGAGGGUGCAGUCACCGUCCUCACUUAGCAGAAGAGGAGCAGAGGAACGUGGACCUCACAGCUGGGACUCGGGAGCCGGGUAGAACCCACAGCCUGGAGGCAGCUGAGUGGUCAGGGAGAGAAGGAAGUGACCUGAGACCUCAGCAGUCCCGCCUGGUAGCUCCUGCCCAGGGAGACCCCUCUGAGGAGCAGACUUCUGGAAGAGGGUGAUGCCAGGAAAUGCCUCAUCCCUGCCAUACACCCUGUCUGCUGUGGACAUCCCAACAGUCCUAGAUCCUUCCUGCUCCCCUCCACUGCUCUGAGACUCAGUCACACCAUGGUCUACCUCAGAUCUGCAAAGCUCAUUGUUCUGGACUAAUGUCUGCCUCUGAGACACCUCCACCCCAAUAGCCCUGCUGGGUCCUGCUGGAGGAGGAAAACUAUAAAAUCUGCCUCUAACACUCAAGGUACAGCCUACCUGCUAAAAUACAUGACUCAAUAAUGGUUGUGAUAGUUCUGGUGAUG
This 589-nucleotide long non-coding RNA is filed under the name Chinchilla lanigera (long-tailed chinchilla). Its description in RNAcentral is "lncRNA (ENSCLAG00000025617.1)". Lineage: Eukaryota; Metazoa; Chordata; Mammalia; Rodentia; Chinchillidae. The record is from RNAcentral.